GGGGAAUAUUGGACAAUGGGCGCAAGCCUGAUCCAGCCAUGCCGCGUGAGUGAUGAAGGCCUUAGGGUUGUAAAGCUCUUUCACCGGAGAAGAUAAUGACGGUAUCCGGAGAAGAAGCCCCGGCUAACUUCGUGCCAGCAGCCGCGGUAAUACGAAGGGGGCUAGCGUUGUUCGGAAUUACUGGGCGUAAAGCGCACGUAGGCGGAUAUUUAAGUCAGGGGUGAAAUCCCAGAGCUCAACUCUGGAACUGCCUUUGAUACUGGGUAUCUUGAGUAUGGAAGAGGUAAGUGGAAUUCCGAGUGUAGAGGUGAAAUUCGUAGAUAUUCGGAGGAACACCAGUGGCGAAGGCGGCUUACUGGUCCAUUACUGACGCUGAGGUGCGAAAGCGUGGGGAGCAAAC
RNAcentral lists this ribosomal RNA (400 nucleotides) under uncultured bacterium. RNAcentral describes it as "bacterial SSU rRNA". It matches the Rfam family "Bacterial small subunit ribosomal RNA", at positions 356 to 773 of the family's 1533-position model. The record is from RNAcentral.